GCACCCGUAGCUCAGCUGGAUAGAGCGCUGCCCUCCGAAGGCAGAGGCCAAAGGUUCGAAUCCUUUCGGGUGCGCCA
RNAcentral lists this transfer RNA (77 nucleotides) under Rhodovulum sp. RNAcentral describes it as "tRNA-Arg". It matches the Rfam family "tRNA". From Rfam's summary of the family: Transfer RNA (tRNA) molecules are approximately 80 nucleotides in length. Their secondary structure includes four short double-helical elements and three loops (D, anti-codon, and T loops). RNAcentral also lists the same sequence under 26 other names. The record is from RNAcentral. Lineage: Bacteria; Pseudomonadati; Pseudomonadota; Alphaproteobacteria; Rhodobacterales; Paracoccaceae.